This 406-nucleotide ribosomal RNA is filed under the name uncultured bacterium. RNAcentral describes it as "partial 16S ribosomal RNA". It matches the Rfam family "Bacterial small subunit ribosomal RNA", at positions 30 to 526 of the family's 1533-position model. The record is from RNAcentral.
AUUGAACGCUGGCGGCAGGCCUAACACAUGCAAGUCGAACGAGUGGCGGACGGGUGAGUAAUGUCUGGGAAACUGCCCGAUGGAGGGGGAUAACUCCUGGAAACGGUAGCUAAUACCGCAUACCAUCGGAUGUGCCCAGAUGGGAUUAGCAAGUAGGUGGGGUAACGGCUCACCGAGGCGACGAUCCCUAGCUGGUCUGAGAGGAUGAACAGCAACACUGGAACUGAGACAAGGCCCCGACGCCUCCGGUAGGCAGCAGUGGGGAAUAUUGCACAAUGGGCGCAAGCCUGAUGCGGCCAUGCCGCGUGGAGGAAGAGGGCCUUCGGGUUGUAAAGUACUUUCAGCGGUGAGGCGUUACUCGCAGAAUAAGCACCGGCUAACUCCGUGCCAGCAGCCGCGGUAAUUC